CCUUUUCGUCUCCUCCCAAAUCCGAGCGAACACCAAAACCCCAGAGAUCCUGCGGCAACCAAGGAAGAGCAAAGCCAGCAGCGAGACGCUGAGGGCUCUUGGGGCGGCCAUGCGCCACAGCAUGGCGGGGCAGCAGUCGAUGGAUUGUUAGGUGACAUUGCUGAGCAUCUACUAAGUUCCUCCAUCCCUUAAACCAAACUCUCACCAUUAUGAAACAAAAACCUGGAAUUGCUGGUGACUGGCAUGAACCCGUGAUGCUUCUCGCUAAAAUUCCAAGCCAGGAAGGCUUCAAGAAUGGGCAAAAGGACGGCUGGCUUGAUUGCUGGUGGGGGUCAAGAUAAGUGGAGGCUUCAGAAAAAGCAUCCAACAGAAAUUGCUCAGAAGAUGAUGGAUGCAAUCAGACCAGUAUCUUUAGGCAUUAUGGAUUACAUAUGCAACAUCACACUACACAUCAUUCUCAUGGAACUAUUGCCUAAGCUAAAUGAAGAAAAAAACUUCAAAGAACAUCUGUUCUCAGACAAAGGUGAGCUAAAUCCAGUGAAGACAAACAGCCUUCCACUCAAAACUUGGAGCUGCAUCAGCAUAUUCCCAUGGUACACAUCUUCUUCUCUUCUAGUUCUGUAGCCAUUUGUUUGGACUGCUUUCCCGUGGCACUGCGAGUGUUUCCUGUGAAUCCAGCUCCUCUUCCUCCUCCUCAAUGGUGUCCAACAUCUGCGGAGCCUUGUGCUUGACAACUGCGAUCAGCUUCGGUGGCGCAACCUCUGUGACGAAGUGGAAGCCACAGCCUCUCACCAUCUCUGAAGCAAGGAUCGAACGCCGCAAGAUCAAAAGCUGAACAGAGAGGAUUUCAAGGAAGGAAGAACACCGAAGUCUUGAUAUCCUUGUGGUGCUCUCCAAUUACCCACCUGCAAUGUAUUUAAAUCAGCAGCAGGAAGAGAUCCGAGCGCUUAUACUAUUUUAUGCCCACAUGAUUUGUAUGUGCAAUUUACAGCCACAUGAUUCU
Molecule: long non-coding RNA, 1003 nt
Organism: Musa acuminata subsp. malaccensis (wild Malaysian banana)
Lineage: Eukaryota; Viridiplantae; Streptophyta; Magnoliopsida; Zingiberales; Musaceae
Source: RefSeq, a predicted model, not a curated record